CUGGAUCUAUAACAUGAAAGCUCGUCGAAUCAGUCUAUUUUGGUAGCGAGUUUUACUCGUGUUAAAAUAUGACUUGCAUAAAUAACAAAUUCGACUCGGCGUUAUAGGUAAACAGACAUGUUCUUUGAUUUCAGUACUUCUAGUACGGCAUGCUAUGAGCAUUGUUGGCGUCACAUGAGUAACUAAUACCUAAACAGUAUUAGUUUUAUUCAUGUCGAUGCCUAAUGUUUUGUGGCUGUCAAUGAAAUCGGUAAGUCUACAGGAGUUUUGAAUGCCGAGUUAUUCGACCCGUCUUGAAACACGGUCUAAGGAGUUCACUGCAUGUGCAAGAGUUCGGCUGUAUGAAAAGCCUUGCUCGUAAUGAAAGUAAAGAACAUUCUUGCAAUGUUUGAAGUGUGAUUUCUGUCAUCUGGUGCAAAUCAUGACAAUGAACGCAACACUGACAGGUUCUAUUGCCGCUGGCAAAGAGCUUAGUAAGAGUAUAUGCAAUGAGACCCGAAAGAUGGUGAACUUAAUGUGUGUAGAAUGAAGCCAGGGGAAACCCUGGUGGAAGUUCGUAGCGGUUCUGACGUGCAAAUCGAUCGUCAAA
RNAcentral lists this ribosomal RNA (589 nucleotides) under Rotaria rotatoria. RNAcentral describes it as "eukaryotic LSU rRNA". It matches the Rfam family "Eukaryotic large subunit ribosomal RNA", at positions 429 to 909 of the family's 3401-position model. The record is from RNAcentral. Lineage: Eukaryota; Metazoa; Rotifera; Eurotatoria; Philodinida; Philodinidae.